AGCUGGAAGAGCUUGCCCAGUAUGAAUGCUGUUAAGGGCAUGAUGCUGUACUGAAUCAACACGGCUAUUGCCACACCUUUAGGUCUCCUGAGGACACCGCUCUUAGCCUUCAGCACCUGUUGAAACAGAAAUCUGCGUUUAGAACAAUCAGCUGUGAACCCCAUUCGUUUUGGAAAUAUCCUGUGCAGUUUGUGUAUCUUCUGCUCUGGUCCUCCACUUCUUCCAGCAUCCACCCUCAUAGUGAGACAGCUGGUGAGAGCAAGAGGGAGACAGCUCAAGGUGGAUAGAGAAGACAGGUAAAGAUGGGCACUUCAUACAAAGGAAAAUGAACCAGAGCUCCUCUCAUUCACAAGAUACUGCUGAGGCAAGUACUUGAAAACAUGAUGUAUCCAGGGUACUUUUGUUUUUAAUGAGACUAUAAAAUACUUAUACUUCUGACCAUAAAUAAAGAUUUUGAUAGCGAGGUCUAGGAAGAUAUUACUAUGUGGAUGAGUAAUUUCUCCAGUAAAUUCUUAGGGGCCUUCAUUUCUCUUUUCCUGAUGUGUUAAGUCUGACACUGUCUAUAAAUUUUUGGUUGCAUAUAGGAAUUAAUUCUCCAAGCCUUACCAACACUGAAAAUAUUAUUCCCUCCUUGAUGCUGAGGGAAGGUUCUUCAUGGUAGGUACCUCAACUGACCUCUGCAGAGCAAGGCUGGGCUCAAUGGGCACAGCACUGCUGCAUUCAGGACCUGGGGUGCUCUGCAUUGUGAUCCAACCAGGGCUGCAGACAUCACACAAACUCUCCAAGCAAAGCCAAAGAGGCAGCUGUUCCCCAGCCCAGACUGGAGCCUGCCCUGUGCUUUCAGUACAAGGCUGCACGGCAUGACACACUCAGUGCUCUGGUGUGCAGGGAAGCAGGGCCUGGGCAGCUGGUGCUGGGGCAGGAAGAGGGACUGGAAGAGUGGUUGAUCCUCCAGCUUCUGCAAAAGUGACUGCUGCUCAUCCUGCCACUGCUCCCUGUCCCUGGCUGUAAUGGGGGAUGUGCUUCCCUACACCUGCAAUGCCCUCAGGUGUUGUACUUCCUGAUCCCUCAGCAGGUUUUGCCUUCAUUUAAGGCAUUUAUUGCCUUCAGAUUUACCUGAGCCAUCCCCUAGGGCAAGGAAGGGACUCUAGAAACAGAGCUGAGCAUGUUAAACUAGAGCAAAAUGGAUGCAGUUACCUUAGUGCUGGUGGAUGCAGCUGUAGGAAGCUUUGGCUGAUCAUCCACUGCUCCGUCCUUUCCUGGCUGGCCUCGGGGAGCGGUCGUACUCUUCAGUCCUCCUGCUUCAAGGAAAUCCCCCUUGGUAAAAUCCCAUCCUCUGCUUGCAGGAUAUAAAGCCUGGGUCUAAAAGAGCCUCACAGAGAGGGAAGCUGCAGUUCUUUGGUAGUUGUACUAACGGGACUGGGGAAGGGAUUUUAACCAGGAGAUUUGCUGCACUGUGGCUGAGCUCUAAUUCCUUUGCUGAAGGUUAUUAUGAUGCUGCAGUAGCAUGUCCAUUGCUUCUAUUCAUCUGGGAGCUCAGCAAGCUCAGCCUCUGCAGCCCUAUUGCUCUGGAAACAUUGAUGGAGGCAGGCAGGAAUGUCAGAGCUGUUCUCUGUGUUCCUCCCCACUUGCUCUUGCUUUGGUUGGGAACUUUGUUUUCCAGGCUGGCAGCCAGGCCGGAAAAGCACCAACAACAGUUCAGGAGGCCAGCACAGGCAUCCCCAUCGGGGGGGGGGGGGAAGGAGCAGUGCCUGUGGCUCUCAUUGGCUCUGCACAUCAUGCCCAUGGCUUCUCCUACACCUUUGUGAGCACCAUGCUGCCAUUCUUGGGGACAAGGGGCCCUCCAGUAAGUCACAGGUGAUGCCUUGAGCCCCCUGUGUCACUGUAGUGGCACAGUAGUGCCUCAGCUCGUUGCUGAGCUCUGGCUGAGUGGGUGGGGCUAGGAGGCCUGCAGCACUGUGGGCAUAUUGAUUUUCUGGAGGCAUCUGCAAGACUACCAGGCACAAGCAAAGGCUGCCCAAGCAGCAGAUGGGCAAGAUCCAUAAAAAUUAAGAUAAAGUGCAGGAGCAAAGUCCACAGCAAUUCUUUAUCUCUAUCACUCUCUUCAGGAUUUUUUCCCCUGUGCAUCUUCAGCCUUCCUAAAGAAAUGGUUGUUUUUCACCAUGCUUGCCUUUCAGCUGUGUGCUGAAUUUUAUAAGAAAUGCAGAGUCAAGCCAAGCAAUAAAGUGCUUAUAAAAUGCUGCUGCCUCAGCAGCACCUCCUCUUCCUCUAAACUCUGUGUAGCUCAGGUUUUUAAAAUUACAAUGUUCUAACAGUCUCACCCUUUGCAGGACUGUAGAAGAAUGUUUCAAUGACUCUAAUAAUUAAAAAAUGCCUGCUAGUUGUUCAUUGUUCAAGCAUUCCUACUGGUCCCCAGUAGUUAAUAGAGGCAAUGCCACGGGAGACAAAGAAGACACUGGCUGAAGAAAGCAGAAUAAAUUAAGAUCAUUAUUUCACUCUG
Taeniopygia guttata (zebra finch) is the source of this 2500-nucleotide non-coding RNA. The record is from RefSeq and is a predicted model, not a curated record. NCBI's taxonomy places the organism in Eukaryota, Metazoa, Chordata, Aves, Passeriformes, Estrildidae.